This 107-nucleotide ribosomal RNA is filed under the name uncultured bacterium. Its description in RNAcentral is "partial 16S ribosomal RNA". It matches the Rfam family "Bacterial small subunit ribosomal RNA", at positions 392 to 508 of the family's 1533-position model. The record is from RNAcentral.
CAACGCCGCGUGAGUGAUGAAGACCUUAGGGUUGUAAAGCUCUGUCGGAGGGGAAGGAAAUAAAUGACGGUACCCUCCCAAGAAAAGACCCCGGCCUAACUACGUGC